This 436-nucleotide ribosomal RNA is filed under the name uncultured anaerobic ammonium-oxidizing bacterium. Its description in RNAcentral is "bacterial SSU rRNA". It matches the Rfam family "Bacterial small subunit ribosomal RNA", at positions 383 to 810 of the family's 1533-position model. The record is from RNAcentral.
GUGACGAAGCGACGCCGCGUGUGGGAAGAAGGCCUUCGGGUUGUAAACCACUGUCGGGAGUUAAGAAGUGUAAGGGGGUGAAUAGUCCUCUUGCUUGACGUUAGCUCCGGAGGAAGCCACGGCUAACUCUGUGCCAGCAGCCGCGGUAAUACAGAGGUGGCAAGCGUUGUUCGGAAUUAUUGGGCGUAAAGAGCACGUAGGCGGCCCUACAAGUCAGCUGUGAAAUCCUUCUGCUCAACGGAAGAACGGCAGUUGAUACUAUAGGGCUCGAGUGCGGGAGGGGAGAGUGGAACCUCUGGUGGAGCGGUGAAAUGCGUAGAUAUCAGAAGGAACAUCGGCGGCGAAAGCGACUCUCUGGCCCGUAACUGACGCUGAGGUGCGAAAGCUAGGGGAGCAAACGGGAUUAGAUACCCCGGUAGUCCUAGCCGUAAACGAU